Molecule: non-coding RNA, 21 nt
Filed under: Caenorhabditis elegans
Lineage: Eukaryota; Metazoa; Nematoda; Chromadorea; Rhabditida; Rhabditidae
Source: RNAcentral
UCCAUCAACAGUCUUGCAUCU